Acipenser ruthenus (sterlet) is the source of this 2100-nucleotide long non-coding RNA. RefSeq lists it as uncharacterized. NCBI's taxonomy places the organism in Eukaryota, Metazoa, Chordata, Actinopteri, Acipenseriformes, Acipenseridae. The record is from RefSeq and is a predicted model, not a curated record. The transcript has 3 exons.
GAAGCUGAACCGCAGUCUCCCACUAGGCGGCGCUGCAGGCUGUCUUUUGAAGGUUACUUGUGGCCCACAGCGGCUUAACUCCACUGCGGUUCCCGUGUCACUCCCUAUUUAAUGGCUGUCAGUAAGAAGGAGACAGAACGCGGCGGGUAAUUAAAAACAAAUUGCAGAGCCUGCCUGUCUAAAGCCUGCAGGACUGAAAAGCUUCUAUUGUGAAGACAGAACCCUCGACCUGGGGCUGCCUAUCCCUGCCUGGCAAGGCUGGAGCAAGAGAUGCUGUUUGGAAACAGUGUGAUUCCACAAAUGUGUGCAGGGGAGAUAUUUCGAAACAACAUCUUGCCCUCCGCGUUGUUUUUCACAUGGCUUUGCAGUUAGAAGAUGCAGAUGCUGACAAUUUCAACCAUCGGCUUCUUUUAGGACCGUCAACUGUGACCUUUGGCCCUUUUGGGAAUGGAGUUUUUGACCCUAGCUGUCUUGAGACCAGAACUGGACCUCUUUUUAUUUUGGCUUUAGACUUUGAACCUUUGGACUUUUGGGAAUUGCCCCUGAGAAGGUUCCUCCAUGAAUUGCAUUGCGCAGGAGCCCCAAAGAAGGUUACCUUUUUGUUUUGUCACAUCUCCAGGAACAACAGGAAACUUUUCACAAGCUCUUGCUAAAUUAGCAGCUGGUACAUUUUUAAGAAAAGAUCAGAAGGUCAUUUUUGCUGGAACAAGGCGCUGAAGCAUUACAAGACCUUUAGACCUUUGUGACCAGUGGCCCUGCAAUCUUUCACUCUGUCAUGUUUAACUAAAACCAAUACCUAUUCAAUCCGGCAUCCAUCAGUGUUACUUUAGAACAUGCCAGACUGCUGUCCAUGCAUCUGGGUUCCUUUUCACCCUCGUAUUUAUGGUAAACAUUCCUAACAGCAGCUGGGUGAUGGGAAUUUACAGGUUAAUCAAUUGCUAGUUAAGAGCUGCAGUAAACAUUUACCAGCCUAAUACCCUGAGGCGGCAACAUUUCCAUUGACUGUUUUUUUCUUUUUCAUUGUUAAGCAACGGUUUGUUAUUUUUGUGUAAUGCUUGUUAAGCAUUACCGCUGUGAACAAACUGUUGCUUUCAAAUACAUUUGAACACCCAUACAAUGCAAAUGCGUACACUCCCAUUUUAUCUGUUCUUUUGCUCGACAAUAUAUUUGAACUCAGUACUGUAGAAACACUAUGGAGGUAUACUAAUAGCUGAAUACUCAGUACUGUACAAACACUAUGGAGGUAUACUAAUGGCUGAAUACUCAGUACUGUACAAACACUAUGGAGGUAUACUAAUAGCUGAAUACAUUAUCUAACGUUCUUUAUAUCUACCUGUGAAACUGAAAACAUUAUACCUUAAAUGCACCGAGGCAAGAAGAAUUUGCUUUAGCUUUGAAAAAUGUCUAGAAUGCCAUUUAAUGGUUUAAUGGCUCUGUUGUUCCUCAGUGCUAACAGGGAUCUUUACUGAUGCCAAAGCAGACUGGAUCUUUAUCUUUAAGAUCAUAGUAAACAGCACAGUGACACCCAACACCUGGGAAGCAUUAGUUGACAGUAUUCCCUGACUUAGCCAUCAACAUGACUUCAUGCACCCCAGCUGCUGCUUUGUGGCAGUACUGGACAGGACUAAAUAAGUUAUGAGAUGUGAAAAUAGACAGUGAACUAAAGCUUUAUGGUGUUUCCGUCUUCUUCUGUGAAACUGUGGUAUGGAGAUUAAAUAUUGUACUGUAUUGUACUGUAUGCUGAACAGGAAUUAAGGGACUGUAAGCCACAUUGCAGCCCCUAACCUCUAAACUACAUUGUCUCAUUGAAAAGCUCCCGAAUACAGCAGUUCAUCCCAAAUGGCAAUUACCAGGACAAAAAAGCUGGACAUCUCUCUGACUCAUUCCUGCUUUCUUACUACCUAUUGGAACGGUCCAAACAGUGGCGGCCGAUCUCAAUGUGGCUCAGACAACCUAUAAAACCAGCGCUUUCGCUGAGCUUUUUCUAUUGACUGACUGUGCUAGUCUGGUCUUGUGUCACUAUUACAGCAAUUUAAGGUAUUGCAUCCUUCUGGUCAGUACCAGAGUACUGAUGCUGUUUCUGUUCCUAUUCACGUCAGA